CCUACGGGAGGCAGCAGUGAGGAAUAUUGGUCAAUGGACGCAAGUCUGAACCAGCCAAGUAGCGUGAAGGAUGACUGCCCUACGGGUUGUAAACUUCUUUUAUAAAGGAAUAAAGUGUGGCACGUGUGCCUUUUUUUGUGUAUUCUAUCAAUAAGGCUGCGCCAACUUCGUGCCAGCCGCCGCGGGCAUUCUGAGGAUCUGCGCGUUAUACGGAUUUUUUGGGGUUAAAGGGAGCGUAGAGGUGUUGUUAAGUAAGUUGUUAAAAGUUGCGGCUUAACCGAGUAAUUGCCAUUGAAACUGGGAGUCUUGAGUGCAGUAGAGGUAGGCGGAAUUCGUGGUGUAGCGGUGGAAUGCGUAGAUAUUACGAAGAACCUCGGUGGCGAAGGCGACUUACUAGACUGUAACUGACGCUGAGGCACGAAAGUGUGGGGAUCAAACAGGAUUAGAUACCCUAGUAGUC
RNAcentral lists this ribosomal RNA (460 nucleotides) under uncultured bacterium. RNAcentral's name for it is "partial 16S ribosomal RNA". It matches the Rfam family "Bacterial small subunit ribosomal RNA", at positions 338 to 795 of the family's 1533-position model. The record is from RNAcentral.